This 4865-nucleotide unclassified non-coding RNA is filed under the name Hevea brasiliensis (rubber tree). Lineage: Eukaryota; Viridiplantae; Streptophyta; Magnoliopsida; Malpighiales; Euphorbiaceae. The record is from RNAcentral.
GCUAAGCCAAGCAUAACAAGAGAACAAGCCUUCACUAUUUUUACUAUUUCUUUAUUGCUACAACGGGAACUGACUUCUCAACUAAUAUCCUUUCACCCUCUCUGUUUCAUUGGGAAACUUAAAAGAACCCACCUUAGAUUCAUUCUUCCUUCACUUCACAAACCAACGCAACAGGCUCUGUUUCUGUUGUAAUAGAGAUAGUGCCUGUCGACAUUUCACGUGGGACCUGUGUUCAUUUCGGACUCACAAUUCCUCAAGAAACAAAAAAAGAUCAUAAACUACUUAUGCUCUCUUCCUCCUUCUAGCUUCCUCCUCCACCACCACCACCCUCCAAAUUUCUCUAUCACUCUCUCCUUCUUCUUCAAAGAAUCGAAAGAAAAAAAGGCUUGUUUAAUUGUAAUAACACAACAGCAACUGCGCAACGAGUAAGAACAAGAAAACAUGAUGCUUUGAAAACUCUCUCUCAAACAAGAACUCCUCCUCUGUGUUUCCGUUCCAUGGACUCAAGAACGAUUCUUGAACAUGCGCGGUUCCAGCUCACUCCCACCAGAACCACGUAUGGGCAUUCCUUAUUUACAUGCAAACUGGCAAUUUUUGCGUUUGUUUCAGGUGAUUGAUAUAUAUUUUUUUUUAAUUCUUUUUUACUGAAUUAAUUCUUGAAGAUGUGAUCUGGUGAUUUUUGCUGGUGGUGUGAGUGAGAAAGUGGCAUCUGGCCUCCUAGAACCGUUUGUUUUGCAUUUAAAAACCUCUAAAGAUCAGAUAUCAAAAGGUGGCUACUCCAUCUUCCUUCGUCCUGUCCCUGCAAAUGCCCACUGGUUUACUAAGGCCACUCUCCAGAGAUUUGUGAGGUUUGUUAGCACACCAGAAGUUCUUGAGAGAUUUGCGACAAUAGAGAGAGAGUUAGAGCAGAUUGAGAAUUCAGUUCAAUCUAAUGAGCUGCUGAAUGCAGAUGCAGAAGGUAUGCAUGGGGCAAAAAAUCUGCAUUUUUUAUGAAUAGUAUCUAUUACUUACCUUCAUUUUGCAGCAACUCAUUUGGCUGUAGAUUUUAAGUACCAGGAAAUUGUAGUCUAAAAUUCUGUCAUGCUAACUGAUCACCUUUUAUUGACUGGAGCAUUAGGAUUUGGUGGAAAUUAUGAGAAUUCAAGUGCCUCAUCUAAGGUAUGUCAUUAGUUGAAAUAUCUCAUAAGAUAUUGUUUGGUGAUGUUUCCUUCAAUCCCGACAUCAUAAUUUUUUACCUGUUUCUUGAUGCCUCAUUUUAGUCUAAAGGAGAUUAUGAUGGAGCCAGUGAUGCUGCACAGGAAGACAAUUCCAAGGUUCGACUUCAACGUGCUUUGGAAACUAGGAAAGCUGUGCUUCACAAAGAGCAGGCAAUGGCAUAUGCUCGGGCUUUGGUUACUGGAUUUGAACUGGACUGUAUAAAUGAUCUUAUCUCCUUUGCUGAUGCUUUCGGAGCUUCACGUUUAAGGGAAGCAUGUUUAAAUUUUGUGGAAUUAUGCAAGAAAAAGAAUCAAGAUCGGCUUUGGAUGGAUGAAAUUGCAGCGAUGCAGGCAUCUAGACUGGAGUUACCUUAUCUUGGAACUUCUGGAAUAGUGCUUGCCAGUGAGGAAAAUUAUCCUAGCCAAAUCGGUGGUCUCUCUGGUGGGAAACUGAAUGGCUCAAUAGAUGCAUCGGUGUCUGACUCAAGUCUUGGAAGUUCAGACCUAAACCAAGAAAGUAGUUUGCCAACAUCAGCUGCAGUGCAAUCAACAGAUGGCAAAGCUCAAAUGCCGAUGGCAUGGCCGAACCAUCUUCCUCAAUACAUGCACAAUUUUCAAGGACCUGUAUUUCAACAAAUGCCCCCAUAUCAAGGCUACCUUUUUCCUGGUAUGCAAGUUGCCCCCCCAUAUUUUCCAGGGAAUAUGCAGUGGCCUCCAAAAGUGGAUGAUUCUGGCCUCCGGCAUGACUGGGAACCAGAUGGUCAUAAAAAGCAUAAAUCAUCAUCUAGGAAAAAGAAGUCCGCACAUGGCAAAGGAAUGGAAACUUCAAACCAAGAUGAUUCCACUGAACCUAGUUAUUCUAGCUCGGAGACAGAAUCGGACAAUGAUUUGCAGAAUGGCGAAAAGCAGUCUUCAAUUGAGCAGGUACGAAGAAAGAAGCAUGGGAAGAAGUCCUCAAGAAAGGUUGUCAUCCGCAACAUUAAUUACAUUACCUCUAAGAGGGAUGGGGAAAAGGGAAGCAUGUCUGAUGAGACAUCUGAUGGGGAUGAUUUCAUUGAUGGAGAAGCUCUCAAGCAGCAGGUGGAGGAAGCUGUUGGUUCAUUGGAAAGACGACAUAAAUCAACCUCACGUCAUCAUAAGAAAUCAAAUCGCAGCACUAUAGAUAAUUCAAAUGACGAAGAUAAGAAGAAAGUAGCUGCCAAUAAUACGGAGGGACAAAAAGGAAAUGAACAGUGGGGUGCUUUCCAGGACCUUCUUUUGAAGGAUAAGGAUUUAGACUCCUUUGAAACUGAUCCACAUCCUUUACAGGUUCAACAGCACUCUACAGCCAAGAGCUCUGAGGAGAGAAUGUUGUUGGCAUUUAAUCUGGAAUCUGAGAAAAUAUCUAAGCACAGAGCAAUUUCAAUUGAUUCCUUUGUCGCAGACAAGAGGGAAACAGGUAAUGAAGAUCAAUUUCGCAUUGGAAACUUCGAAUCUGGUGAAAAUCUCAAGUCAAUGACAAAGAAAAGGGAUGGCACAUAUGAGGAGAUGUUAUUUUCUCAAAGAACUGAUGAGCCAGGGAACCAUCGGCGAACUACUGUUUCUGAUAAUUCCACUGAAUCUCUGAUGAUCAAAAGUCAAAAAGAAGGAGAUUGGUUCAUCAGCAACCAACUGGAUAAGCCAGCAAACAAGGAUGAAAAUAUGAAUCUUAGAACAUUUGAUGGUGAUUAUGCUUCAUCAUUGGCUGAUGAUCAUUUUCGCUUUGAGAAAAGUAAGAAAGAUGUUCUAGUUGAUGACUCAUUCAUGAUCCAAGCUCGACCAUUUGUAGACGAUCAAUCUCAAUCUAUGUUAAGAACAGAUAUAAGCAUGGCUGCAGAUAUAGUUGAAGCUACUAAAUACGAUAACGCCACCUCUGAAAUCACUCAUGAUAAGGCUGGCACAUAUGGCACUCACGAACCAGAAGACCUUUACAUGGUGCUUGGGAGAGAUUCAGCUGCAGAGAAUGCUAUGUCAUCUUGGACUCCAGAAAUGGACUAUGAGAAUGACCUUCUAUCUGCUGAAGCCAAUGUAAAACAAUCUGGUAUUGAAACAAAUGCUGCCGAAGAUAAGCUUCCUUCUAAUGGUAAGGGCACUAAUGGCAAACCUGGUGGAAAUGCUGGAGGAAAGAUUCCUGGUAAGGAAGCAAGGUCAAAAGUUUCAAAUGCAUCUCUUGGAAAGAGCAAAUCUUCCUUAAUGUCAAGGACCAAGAAACCAACUUCUGGAGGCAUAACCACAGUUCAGAGAGGCAAAUCUGACAAGGAAGAAGAGAAAAGAAAGAGAAUGGAAGAGUUAUUGAUUCAACGCCAGAAGAGAAUUGCUGAAAGGAGUGCUAGUGGCAAUAGUCCAGCAACUUCCAAGAGAAUGCUAGUGAAAAGAACAUCUUCCUUAAAGAAUGAGGAGUCCAAAACCCAGCCUCCAAGCCAAGAGACUAAGAAAACAUUGUUUAGGAGUUCCACCAUUGAUCGUCUUGCCUCUGCUCGAACAAUGCCAAAGGUGGAAUCAGCUCAAUCAAAACCUGCCGAGCCCAAAAAGGCAUCCUCGAAGGCUAAUGGUUUGCCACAGAAGACUGCUGGGGCUGACAAGAAAUUGAGCCCAAAGACUCUGAAACCUAAUGUUCCUCAAAAGAAAGAAAGCAAGGUAGCUGCAGCAGAGGAGCUGAAAAAGGUACCAGCUACCGAAAGCAUCGACCAAUUUAAAGACAUUAAGGAGUUGCACAGCGUUGAUUCACUAGAGAAAGAUGAAGGAAAUAUGAUUUCACGAACUGAUACUUCAAAUGACAAGGGCUACAGUGGCAGUGUGCCCCACAUGGACUCAUCUGCACAACUGGAUCACUUAAAAGGUAAUGAUGAGGGAUUAUCUAUGGCAGCUCCAAUUCUUGCUGAAAACAUUAAAACUUCAGGUGAUCAUGAUCAUUAUACUUCUGAAAUGACAAAACAUCCUGUGCCAGAAUCACCAAAUGAAGAUUUAAACCUUUCUGCUGAAAAUAUCAGAGAUAAUGGUAUGAAAACUGAAAAUGUGCCUUCACCAGAAAAAUCUGAAAUUCAAAUAUCAACCCCACCACCUGCUGAAAUAAACCCAGAAACAGUCCACUCUAGGAAGAAGUGGAACAGUGAUGAAACCUCUCCGAAAGCUGCUAAAGGCUUUAGAAAGCUUCUUCUGUUCGGAAGGAAAAGCCGGACCUCUACUACCAAUUGAUCUUAUGCUUGCCGAAUGAUUGAGUAAACAAAAAAAGGGGGGAAAAAAAAAAAGGGAAUUGAAAGAUGGUAGAUAGCUCCCAUACAUAAUAAGGCCUUUGGUGUUGGUGCCAAUAUGAGAAGCGGCAUGUUUUGUAAUUUAUCAGGGUUUGGUACUGCAUAGUGUGAGUGUAAAGAAAUUAAGUUUUUAUUGGUAUGUUUUUUUGUAUCUGUUUUGAUGUACACUGAAACCCUUUUUAAAACUUUGCAGUCUAUACUCAAAAUUGUGGUUGUAUGUAUCUCACAACCCUGUAAUGAGUUAUUGUUAGCUUGUUACAGUGCAUCCAAUUAUUUUCUUUGUUAUCUAUUCAGGAAUGAAAGGAUUGUUCUUGUUGUUGGAGCCUAAACACUUGUCUUUUGAAAUUUUUCCAUGUUUAAUGUUGGGAAGUUUAAUUUCAGCAAGUGCAGAUUUCUUCUU